GGGUGCGAUCAUACCAGCACUAAUGCACCGGAUCCCAUAAGAACUCCGCAGUUAAGCGUGCUUGGGCGAGAGUAGUUGGUAGCUUAAUUGUGCCAUGCUAGGUACCAUUGAAAGCGUAUGUG
This 122-nucleotide ribosomal RNA is filed under the name Gossypium arboreum. Lineage: Eukaryota; Viridiplantae; Streptophyta; Magnoliopsida; Malvales; Malvaceae. The record is from RNAcentral.